GGACGGUUAGCUCAAUGGCAGAGCAUCGCGUUUACAUCGCGGGGGUUAUAGGUCCGAAUCCUAUACCGUCCACAA
Molecule: transfer RNA, 75 nt
Filed under: Candidatus Wildermuthbacteria bacterium RIFCSPLOWO2_12_FULL_40_9
Lineage: Bacteria; Candidatus Wildermuthiibacteriota
Description: tRNA-Val
Rfam family: tRNA
About the family: Transfer RNA (tRNA) molecules are approximately 80 nucleotides in length. Their secondary structure includes four short double-helical elements and three loops (D, anti-codon, and T loops).
Source: RNAcentral